GGCAAAUUAGCAAGAAAGAGAGUUUUGAGCCGAGGCAUAGAGGUCCGAAAAAUUGUUGACUCAGAUGAUUUAUUAUUUUACAAGUUUCAGGUACCGAGGAUGAACUUGGAUUCAUAGUUGCAGGCUUAGAUGGAAGAGUUGGAAUUGAGGAAUUAAAUUAUUUUAUUUAGAGAUUUUUUUGUAUUUAUUUGAGGAAAUUCAUUUAGUAUCAAUUUAAUUAAUUUGAGAUGUUGUCUUAUUUAUUUGAGGAAAUUUGAUUGAUUUAGUAUCAAUAAAGGAUAUUUCUUUUGA
Long non-coding RNA from Cornus florida, 291 nucleotides. RefSeq lists it as uncharacterized. The transcript has 2 exons. The record is from RefSeq and is a predicted model, not a curated record. Lineage: Eukaryota; Viridiplantae; Streptophyta; Magnoliopsida; Cornales; Cornaceae.